RNAcentral lists this unclassified non-coding RNA (609 nucleotides) under Hevea brasiliensis (rubber tree). The record is from RNAcentral. Lineage: Eukaryota; Viridiplantae; Streptophyta; Magnoliopsida; Malpighiales; Euphorbiaceae.
GCUAAAGUCCUACAUAGAGACAUUAAAGCCAGCAAUGUAUUACUUGAUAAGGAAAUGAAUGGAAGAUUAGGUGAUUUUGGCCUGGCUCGGAUGCACAGCCAUGGUCAGGUGGCUAGCACCACGCGGGUGGUUGGAACGNNNGGGUACUUGGCGCCUGAGGUGGUUCGCAGUGGUCGAGCAUCAGCUCAAACAGAUGUGUUCGGUUUUGGGGUAUUAAUUUUGGAAGUGAUGUGUGGAAGAAGGCCUAUAGAAGAAGGGAAGCCGCCACUUGUAGAAUUGGUAUGGAAGUCAAUGAUGCAAGGGCAAUUACUGAGUGUCUUUGAUCCAAGGCUAAAGGCUAGAGGAGAGUUCGAUGAGGAAGAAGUGGAGAGAGUACUUCAUUUAGGUUUGUUGUGCGCGUAUCCUGAGCCUAGUUCUAGGCCAACAAUGAGGCAAGCCGUGAAGAUUUUGGAGGGCAAGAACGAGCCUAAUGAGCCUGACAGUGAAGAUAUGGAUGCAUAUCUGCUCCAACAUAUCAAUUCUAAAGAUAUGUGGUUGAAUUAUUCUGAGAGUUCAUGCUAUUCAUCUCACCCAACAUUUGAAGAUAUUAGAAAAUCCCAAUCAUCUUCC